Brachypodium distachyon (stiff brome) is the source of this 136-nucleotide non-coding RNA. The record is from Rfam. NCBI's taxonomy places the organism in Eukaryota, Viridiplantae, Streptophyta, Magnoliopsida, Poales, Poaceae.
AUACUAUUUCCUCUGUCCAACAAAGGAUGUCUCAAUUUUUACUAAAUUUGAAUGCAUCUAUUCACUAAGUCAUCUCUAGAUACAUUCAAAUUUUGACAAAGUUGAGAUAUCUUUUGUUGGACGGAGGGAGUAUGUG